Molecule: transfer RNA, 72 nt
Filed under: Symbiodinium sp. clade D
Lineage: Eukaryota; Dinophyceae; Suessiales; Symbiodiniaceae
Also listed under: 1 other name
Rfam family: tRNA
About the family: Transfer RNA (tRNA) molecules are approximately 80 nucleotides in length. Their secondary structure includes four short double-helical elements and three loops (D, anti-codon, and T loops).
Source: RNAcentral
GGGGAUUAGCUCAGCUGGCUAGAGCGCCUGCCUUGCACGCAGGAGGUCAUCGGUUCGACUCCGAUAUCCUCC